AUUUAAAAGGCCCGACACGUUCACCUAGCUAAUGGUGUGAUGCUCUCGAGUGCCGCCUAGAGUCGGCUGAUAUGAGGUCCAAGGACUUCCAUUUGGUCAAGUGGUCUACCAUCACAAUGAGGCGGACCAAGGCCGGUACGGCACGCAUAGGAGCUUCACGGAAACUGUUGGAAUUUGAUUGCGCCAGAAGGCGGCCAGAAGCCUUCGCAGCAGCAAUUGCCUCCACAGGAAGAAGCAUAGAGAGCCUUGUGGAAAAGGAAAACAAUGCAGACCAACUCAAGGAUCAAGCUCAGAUGGAAAAAUAAAAAAAAAACAG
Molecule: long non-coding RNA, 316 nt
Organism: Rhipicephalus microplus (southern cattle tick)
Lineage: Eukaryota; Metazoa; Arthropoda; Arachnida; Ixodida; Ixodidae
Source: RefSeq, a predicted model, not a curated record